GGCUAUCCCAACCAGAGGUGAUAAAGAGGGUACCUACUUGAUUCUGUUACUGAGAACAUAACGCAAAAGGCCCAGGCACAGGCUGAAUCCCAAACACAUCAAUAAUUUCAUUGUUAAACUGAUACAUAUUUCAACAACAGAAAUUCCAGGAACCAACCACACCCCACAUAUUAUAAAAGGCAAAGAAAAAUAUAAAGAUGAAAAUAAUCAGGAAAAAUCUAAAACUAUAGGUUUAAUGAAACCUCCUUUAACCAAUUAAAUUAAUUUCCCACCAACAGAGAUCCUCAUAUCACACUCUAGAGGUCCUUAAGUAGACUGCCAUUGUCACCUGAGCCUUAAGUAGGAAAAGAUGUUCCACAAACUCAGGCUUUCAUCAAAAGUCACCCAGAGAUUGUAAUGAGGCACACAGAGGCCCAACACACUGAAAUAGGCAGGAUACAGUCCAUACCUCUACAUGGUCACCAAAUUCCCCACUGGCAGAGGAGGCUGACCUGCAUCCUGAAUUCAGCCAGACAAUAAGAGCUGCCAGCCACCUAUGCCUUCUGGAAUUCGUUGUGCAUUCCAUUUUCCUUGACUUAAGAGAGCCAAGAAUUUCUUUAAGCUCAAAGAGUCCUCUUUUGAACUCUCCAUGAGAACAAGUCUCUAUGUUCCACCCCUGGAGCGAGCACUAGAUAGAUAGAUGAUAGAUAGAUAGAUAGAUAGAUAGAUAGAUAGAUAGAUAGAUAGAUAGAUAGAUAGAUAGAUAGAUAGAUGGCGAUAGCACACUUUGGGUCUUUAAGAGCUACUACUCUCUGACUAGAGAUGUGUUAAAAUGUUUACCUAGCUGAGUGGUAAUGGCCCAUGCCUUUAAUCCCAGCAAUCUCAAGACAGAGGCGGGUGGAUCUUGUGAGUUCGAGGCCAGCCUAGUCUACAGAAUCAGUUCUAGGACAGCCAAGCCUUCACAGAGAAACCCUAUUUCAGAAAAAAAAAAGGCAUUAUUAAUUAAUAAUUAAUUAGUUAAAAUGAUUAUCUAGUAUGCACAAAAUCUUAGGUUCCCCUCCCAACAAUACCAAGCUGCUCUGAAACAAAAGGUGACAAAAUCACACAAAUUUUGUGUAAGUUUUUUGUUCCAAUGUUAAUAUUUCUUCUGUUACACACACACACACAUAUACACACUUUUAAGCACGAGGAACAUGCAUACAACUCCAUUCUGACACUAUGAAAUCCCAUCCCUGCUUCCUAUUUUGGGGGGAGUCAGAGAGCACCAGUGUAUGUGACCGGCUAACAGAGGUCUUGUGUUACAGCAGACCUGAUCUCUAAGUGGUCCCCGCCUAGGUAGUGACAUUCAUCUUCUGAGAGGAGCCUUCCUUUUGUGAGUGGGGAGAAAACAAAAGGCCUGCCUUCUGGGUCAGGGACAGAGAGGGCCCAGGAGCAUCAGGGGACCCUGCAUCUAGCAGCUGGGAAUGAUAUAGCCCUUGCCUUGUCUAGCCUGUGUUUCUCUCUGCUACACUGGUGUUUUUUUCUCCCCAGCUGAAGACUUGAAUAAAUAAUUUGAUUUUCUGUUAUUGCCGGCGAUUACCGCAUCUUCUUAUUUAACUUAUGUCUUCUUUCCAAGCGAGAGUAUCCAGGUUUCGGUUGGAUCUAUUUUAAGGUGAAUUAAUUAACCAGCAUAAUAAUACAUUCAUGUUUCUUUUUUCAAUAUAUUUUUACUCUAAAAUAGUUACAGAACACAUGCCAAUGAACCCAUAGUAAACCACACCAUCUUUUUGGGUUUGUCUGUUGCUCCCUUCCUCCCUCACAGGGAAACCUGCCCCCGGACUACAGAAUCAGCCUGAUAGACAUUGGCCUGGUGAUCGAGUACCUGAUGGGCGGGGCUUACCGCUGCAACUACACGCGCAAGCGCUUUCGGACCCUCUACCACAAUCUCUUUGGCCCCAAAAGGGUGAGCUUCUCGCUUGUUCUUAGGCUAUUUGGGGAAGACUAGGAAGGAGAGAUUUAAGGUAUAACCCCUUGUCUCCAAGGGGAAAACGAGUUG
This 2014-nucleotide long non-coding RNA is filed under the name Mus musculus (house mouse). RNAcentral describes it as "long non-coding RNA chr19:22895889-22897903". The record is from RNAcentral. Lineage: Eukaryota; Metazoa; Chordata; Mammalia; Rodentia; Muridae.